UGGGGAAUAUUGGACAAUGGGCGAAAGCCUGAUCCAGCCAUGCCGCGUGUGUGAAGAAGGUCUUCGGAUUGUAAGGCACUUUAAGUUGGGAGGAAGGGUUGUAGAUUAAUACUCUGCAGUUUUGACGUUACCGACAGAAUAAGCACCGGCUAACUCUGUG
RNAcentral lists this ribosomal RNA (160 nucleotides) under uncultured bacterium. RNAcentral describes it as "partial 16S ribosomal RNA". It matches the Rfam family "Bacterial small subunit ribosomal RNA", at positions 355 to 507 of the family's 1533-position model. The record is from RNAcentral.